GUCAUUGAAAAAAAAUAAGAAACAAAAAAUCUCAGAUCUAGGUCUUCGCAAUUGGAAUUCGCCCAAUCUCUCUUUCUCUUUGAGCUCAAUCCCUUUCGAUCUCAAACGAUCUUUCUCGGCUUCGCAAAAUAAUUGAUAGAGAAAAGUUGUUGGUGGUGGAUGGCGGUGCAUUCUUGUUCCUCUGAAAAUAAUCGCUCAUUCGGAUAAUCUCGCCGCACGGACUUCGGAGCUCCGAUUUCCAGAAUCAAGAUUGACUCUUCGUUGUAUAUUCGAUGGCGUCAUGCUUCGUCGGUUGAUUUUGGUUUUAACGGUGGAGUUUGCGGUUAUUAGCUAUGGCGAAAAUGAACGGGACUGGAAAUAAAGGGUUUAGCAACACGGAGAUGAAAUACAUUCGAAGACACCAUAAUCAGGAGCCAAUGAAGAAUCAGUGCGCUUAUGCACUUGUUAAGCAUAUCAAAGCUCUUGUUCCUCUUGGUUCCUGUUUCAGCUGUGUCUCGAGAGACAAUCUCCAUGAUAGCAAGUGAGGCAAUGUCGUCGACUAAGGUGAAGGAUUGGUCGCUCUUGGACGACCUACCUGUAUUCUUCGAGAGGCAGUGGUGUUUACGGCCAACUGUACACAGCUCAAUUCGGAUAUGGUCAAAACGUAAGGGUUUUGAAAUAUUUCAUAAACUUCUCUUAACUACACUUUUUUUUAGUUUCAUAAAUAAAUUGUCAUACUUAAAGAUUGAAUGUUUUUCAAUAGCUUGGUAGAUUAUGAGGUUGAUUUUGGAUUUUGUGACUGUAGUUGAGUACUAAUUAUUCUGGAGCUUCUGUUGGAGGACAUGAUCCUGCCCAACAUUCUGCAGCUUCAAGGCAUUCUGCAGCUUCUGUUGGAUUUUGUUGUUUUUAUUUACUUACUUAUUCUUCUAACAACUUUGAGUUUCCAGUAUUUCAUGUAUUGGACCAUGCAAAGAGGCUGUUGAUUGCUCUGUUUAUGGAUCUUCUGGACUUGAGUUUGUGAGAUAAUUGAUUGUAAAUGCAGAUGAACGAUUGAAGUAAUUUAAUUUAUUCAUAUUUCUUAUUUAGGUCAUCAGUGCCUCUUCUUCGAUUCCCCUCCAUAAUGAGUUUCGCGGGUCAUUGUGUUCCAUGCAUGAGAUUCUUGGUUGUGAUUGUCUGACUUUGGUGCCUCUUUGACUUGCAAUCUAUCUUGUGUAUGAAUUUAAGGCAUCCUCUUCGAUUUCACCUCUGAUUAUUGUUUGGAAGGCAUCCAUCAAUUUGACCUUAUGCAUAUUUUGUUCCUAAUUAUUGUUUUCAUUAGGGAUCUACCUUUUUGUCUUUUGAAUUAUGUGAUUCAAGGGUUAAUGUCAAAUUUGAUAUCAUAUAUCUACUCUGAUACUUAGCAAAGUACUUAUUUCAUUUCUUUUGUAGUGAGAACUUAGUUAGAACAAUUGGAAAUAAUCUGUAUCAAAAUACUCAAAGCUGCUUGCACAAAUAGUUCAUGAUUUGUAGCUUUCCACCAAUAUACUUAAUUGCAUUUGGAAUACAUUGGUUCCUCAUAAAAUAUAGGUUUUUAUAUGUAAAUUAUUGAAAAAUUGAGCAAGUAUAAUUCAAUGGUGUUAAAUCAGAUUGGAUUGGAAAGCCUUUUGGAUCUAAAGUAUUCAACAAUAAAGAUAUUAGUUUGGUUGUCAUGAACUUGGAGAUUGUUACUGGUUGCUUGGUUCUUGAAUCUGGAACUGGAAGUGGAUCCGUAACGACUUCAUUUGCAAGAGCAGUUGCACCUAAAUGACAUGUCUAUACAUUUGAUUUCCAUGAGCAGAGGGCUGCAUCAACUAGGUAACUAAUAAGGAAGAAGAUACUGAGAUUGUCCAUUUAGAAAUUGCAUGUUAUUAGACAUGAAGGCAUAUUGGUGCACUGAAGUGUUUGAUAAGCUUUGUUCUAUGGCGCAAGAGAUAUGAGCGUGAAGGUUAGAGUUUAAGCCUUUAAUGGCCUUGCAAAGAUGGAAAUAAUAUCUAAGAGUUUUCUCUUGCAAAGCUUAUCAAAGAGAGUUUUAGGAAAUGGAAAACAAAGGGAAAUUAUGGAUAAGGUUAUGUGCUGAUUUGGACAAAUGGUUCUCCAAGAACUCAACUCAUGAUGUGUUUUUCUGUUGCAAGUGUUAACAGUUGUUUGCAUUGUGCUCUAAGCUCUAAUGUCCAAGUGCAUGAUGGUAUUAAUAUAACUCUAAUUGUAGAUGCUUUUGGAGCAUUAGAAUGGUGAACACAAGGUCUUAUAAUUGAUUAAUAUUAUUGAUUUAGGCCUUAAUUGAUUAGUGAUAUUAUAAAAUUGUUUUUUUGUUAUCUUAGUAAGUAAGGGAAUAGUCAAUGAAGAUAUAUAAA
This is an RNA transcript of Vicia villosa (hairy vetch), 2351 nucleotides long. RefSeq lists it as uncharacterized. The transcript has 6 exons. The record is from RefSeq and is a predicted model, not a curated record. Lineage: Eukaryota; Viridiplantae; Streptophyta; Magnoliopsida; Fabales; Fabaceae.